Molecule: ribosomal RNA, 469 nt
Filed under: uncultured bacterium
Lineage: Bacteria
Description: partial 16S ribosomal RNA
Rfam family: Bacterial small subunit ribosomal RNA
Source: RNAcentral
GACGAACGCUGGCGGCGUGCUUAACACAUGCAAGUCGAACGGAAAGGCCCUGCUUGCAGGGUGCUCGAGUGGCGAACGGGUGAGUAGCACGUGGGUGAUCUGCCCCUUACUUUGGGAUAAGCCUGGGAAACUGGGUCUAAUACUGGAUAGGACCAUGCUGUAGGUGGUGUGGUGGAAAGAUUAGUUUCGGUAAGGGAUGAGCUCGCGGCCUAUCAGCUUGUUGGUGGGGUAAUGGCCUACCAAGGCGUCGACGGGUAGCCGGCCUGAGAGGGUGGACGGCCAGAUUGGGACUGAGAUGCGGCCCAGACUCCUACGGGAGGCAGCAGUGGGGAAUAGUGCACAAUGGGCGCAAGCCUGAUGCAGCGACGCCGCGUGGGGGGUGACGGCCUUCGGGUUGUAAACUCCUUUCAGCCAUGACGAAGCCCUUGUGGUGACGGUAGUGGUAGAAGAAGCACCGGCUAACUACGUG